GACGAAGGGGGCUAGCGUUGUUCGGAAUUACUGGGCGUAAAGCGCGUGUAGGCGGUUGCCCAAGUCGGGUGUGAAAGCCUUGAGCUCAACUCAAGAAAUGCACUCGGUACUGGGUGACUAGAGGACCGGAGAGGAUAGUGGAAUUCCCAGUGUAGUGGUGAAAUACGUAGAGAUUGGGAAGAACACCAGUGGCGAAGGCGGCACUCUGGGCUGGUACUGACGCUGAGGAGCGAAAGCGUGGGUAGCAAACAGG
This 253-nucleotide ribosomal RNA is filed under the name uncultured bacterium. RNAcentral's name for it is "partial 16S ribosomal RNA". It matches the Rfam family "Bacterial small subunit ribosomal RNA", at positions 524 to 776 of the family's 1533-position model. The record is from RNAcentral.